GAUGAACGCUGGCGGCGUGCUUAACACAUGCAGGUCGAACGAAGCAUUUAGAACAGAUUACUUCGGUUUGAAGUUCUUUAUGACUGAGUGGCGGACGGGUGAGUAACGCGUGGGUAACCUGCCUUGUACUGGGGGAUAGCAGCUGGAAACGGCUGGUAAUACCGCAUAAGCGCACAAUGUUGCAUGACAUGGUGUGAAAAACUCCGGUGGUAUAAGAUGGACCCGCGUCUGAUUAGCUAGUUGGUGAGAUAACAGCCCACCAAGGCGACGAUCAGUAGCCGACCUGAGAGGGUGACCGGCCACAUUGGGGCUGAGACACGGCCCAGACUCCUACGGGAGGCAGCAGUGGGGAAUAUUGCACAAUGGAGGAAACUCUGAUGCAGCGACGCCGCGUGAGUGAAGAAGUAAUUCGUUAUGUAAAGCUCUAUCAGCAGGGAAGAUAGUGACGGUACCUGACUAAGAAGCUCCGGCUAAAUACGUG
This 481-nucleotide ribosomal RNA is filed under the name uncultured bacterium. Its description in RNAcentral is "partial 16S ribosomal RNA". It matches the Rfam family "Bacterial small subunit ribosomal RNA", at positions 28 to 507 of the family's 1533-position model. The record is from RNAcentral.